This 581-nucleotide ribosomal RNA is filed under the name uncultured bacterium. Its description in RNAcentral is "bacterial SSU rRNA". It matches the Rfam family "Bacterial small subunit ribosomal RNA", at positions 146 to 760 of the family's 1533-position model. The record is from RNAcentral.
ACGGCUGGAAACGGCCGCUAAUACCCCAUAUGCCGAGAGGUGAAAUGAAUUUCGCCUGAGGAUGAGCUCGCGUCUGAUUAGCUAGUUGGUGUGGUAAAGGCUCACCAAGGCAUCGAUCAGUAGCUGGUCUGAGAGGAUGAUCAGCCACACUGGGACUGAGACACGGCCCAGACUCCUACGGGAGGCAGCAGUGGGGAAUUUUCCGCAAUGGGCGCAAGCCUGACGGAGCAACGCCGCGUGAGGGAUGAAGGCCUCUGGGCUGUAAACCUCUUUUAUCAAGGAAGAAGAUCUGACGGUACUUGAUGAAUAAGCCACGGCUAAUUCCGUGCCAGCAGCCGCGGUAAUACGGGAGUGGCAAGCGUUAUCCGGAAUUAUUGGGCGUAAAGCGUCCGCAGGCGGUUUUACAAGUCUGUCGUUAAACCGUGGAGCUCAACUCCAUUUCGGCGAUGGAAACUGUAAGACUAGAGUGUGGUAGGGGCAGAGGGAAUUCCCGGUGUAGCGGUGAAAUGCGUAAAUAUCGGGAAGAACACCAGUGGCGAAGGCGCUCUGCUGGGCCAUAACUGACGCUCAUGGACCAAAGC